AUUUAGUCCCUCGGUAUGGUCCAUAAGACCCAAUACAUCUGAUCUCUUUUGACUUCUCCAAUUGUAUAUCCCACACCCACUCCUCAGUACAGACUCACUGAUGUGUCUUUUCUUCACAUAUGCUGUUGCUUUGCUUGGAACACUCUCUACCUUCCUUCCCCCAAAGACUUAUUUACUUAUUAUAUCCCCAUUUCCUUACUGCUUGCAACUUUGGGGUGGGGGGUCUCCCUGUCACUCCUGAGUUAACUCUGUUACAGCAGCUGGCAAAAUAUUACAAUCACCCGCUUAUCCCUUUGCCUUCCUAAACAGACUAUACAUUUUUGGAGGGCAGAGACUGGGAUUUUCAUUCCUGUACCCUCAGUUAUACAGGGCUCAUUAAAUGUCUUUAGAAUAAACAAAGAAAUCCUUUCUCUUUUACUUACACUUAAGUCCUGAGUCAGAUUUGGAUAAAAUAUGUAUAAGAAAUUCAAUUAAAGCAUCAGAAAAUUACAUGUUAGAAUAUUACCAGCUCAGCACCUCCAAACCCCCAUUCAAAAGCCAUAUGCAGACUAUUUUUGCUUUCACAAUAGAUUAAAGAAUGCAUAUAUCUUUUUCUACUAGUGAAUAAAAUUCUACAAAUCUUGGUAUUUUCCUUUCUUUUCAGGUUGCUAAGAAGCUCAAAGAAUUUAUGGUCACCUCAAUGUACUGCGACCAUAGGAGUUCUGGAGCCUCAUAUACUUGCUUCUUCCUAUAUCUUUGCUUUCAGAUGUUUAAAUUUUUUUAAAAUUAUAAAUGGAUACAAUACCUUUAUUUAAUUUAUUUUUUAAUGUGGUGUUGGGGACAGAACCCAGGGCCUCACGCAUGCUAGGCAAGCGCUUUACCACUGAGCCACAACCCUGGCCCCAUAUUUUUAUUUUAAUAGAUUUUUUUGAAUAUAUGUCUUUUGGAAAAAGUUUACAUGUUUAAAUAUAUCUACAUCUGUAUAUAUACACACAUAUUGAAACACUGAAUGUUAUUUCUUAUUAGCAUAGAAGCAAACAGAUGGUUAAGGUAACAAUGCAGAAGAGAAGAGCUGGAGCCACUGAGACCAAGUUUGUCUGCAGCUACAUAAGCCACUGUUAGGUUAGGAAUUUUCAACUGAAAACCAGAAAUUAGGUAGAUUUCAUUCAUCAGGGAAUGGAAUUUUUUUUUUUUUUUUUGCUGGUGCAGAGAAAUAUUUUGAGGACCUCCAACUCUUGUCUCACUGGCUCCUUUGUAUUAUUACAGAAAUUUUGCAAAAGAUGGUAUUGAAAAGAAAAUGUAAGCCUUUCCAAUAUUCAGUGAAUUAGAGAAUCAGAUCCUGGAUGCAGCUGACCAUCUGGCACAAGCCCCCUUCUUUCAACAAAGAGAUGGUGUGCCCUGUUUGAGUGUGGGCCUCCAUGAUUUAUUUCUCAAUUUCCCCCUAAAUCUGGUUACCAGGUCUGCUGGGUUUCCCACUGGACCUCUCCUCUUCUCCAUCUUCCUUUCAGACCUCUUCCUUUCCCAACUCUCCCUCUUCUGUUUCUACCUCCAUUCCAGCCUCCAUACCACUAGAUGACCCUGCUUAGGACCAGUCAGAGGCUUCCCACAGCUCACAGUUCAGGUCUGUACACACACCUGCAAGACUCCUGUAUCCUCUCUCGUGUUACUUCUAGCUGCACAUCCACAUAUUCUUUGCUCUGCCUGCAUUUCCUCCUGCUGCUGAUUGCCCAUGCUGUUCUGUUCUCUCUGUGCAGAGGCACCCCACUGUCUUUUCAUCACUGGGCUAAUGCUUGCUCUUCUUUGUAGACUCAGCCUCAGAUCGCUUCUUCUGAUGACCUGAACACCUUCCCUUGUGUUCCCAAAGCACCUUCAACUUCUCAUCAUAACUCUUGCUGCUGUCUGUCUCCCUCAUUAGGCUGUGAGUUACUUAAGAUCAGGGAGUAUUUACUGCUGAGCUCCUGGAAUACAGUUCUGCCUGACCAGAGAAGCCUCAGGAAAUGCUUAUUGAAUGAAGUGACUACUGAGGUGGACAUGCUUAGGAAAAGCAUCUGAAAGGGGCCUUGCUCACCACACCUUCCACAAAAUGUGAUAUGUGGGUCUCAUCAACUCCCACAGUCUAUUAUUUCUAUUAUUUUUUGUAAUCCUUCUAAACUUAUCAAAUCAUCCCCAUUCUUUCCCUUGUCUAAUUAAAAAGAAAUCCCUAAUCCAUUUUGGUUUGACUUAGAUUUGUUUUCAAGCUGAAAGCCAAUUGUCCUAAAUACCAUUUAUUAAAAAACUCUUCCCUUCUUUAUCACUUAUUUUUUCAUAUUCAAAUACAAUAGAGAAAUUUUUAAACAUAGAUAAGAAAAAAAAAACGAAUUCAAGUCACCCAUAAUCUUACAAUAUAGAUAAUCAUAAUUAUCAUUCUGAUGUAAACAAAGUGAUUUCCUUAGCUAACUUUAUUGUGCCAGAUUAACUGACAUUCUUCCACCUUCUGUAGAAUGUACUGGUUGAUGUCUAUUGCAUGCCGAAUGUUCCUGGAGAGGAGCCUAUAUUUGAAGCCUUGUGUACUCUGUUCUCAGCAUCAGUGGGUCGUGCUUGGCAAGAGUUAGCUGUGUUUAUUCCAGCAUGUUAUGCCAGGUGUGGUGGUUACUCUAAUGGUUUAUUUAAAUAUUAUGUAUACUGAUAAAAACAGUGAAUAGGAAAACAGUAGUUUCUGUGAAAACUAAUGCUUUGAAAAAUUGAAUGCUUUUGAAAGUUUCAAUAAAGGUAAAAUGCUAAAAAUACUAUUCUUGGAUUAGAAACAUAAACACUGGGAAGAAAUAUAAAAAUCCUGCAGUCUACAAUCAAUGGG
Molecule: long non-coding RNA, 2812 nt
Filed under: Marmota monax (woodchuck)
Lineage: Eukaryota; Metazoa; Chordata; Mammalia; Rodentia; Sciuridae
Source: RNAcentral